UAGGGAAUCUUCCACAAUGGACGCAAGUCUGAUGGAGCAACGCCGCGUGAGUGAAGAAGGUCCUCGGAUCGUAAAACUCUGUUGUUAGAGAAGAACACGAGUGAGAGUAACUGUUCAUUCGAUGACGGUAUCUAACCAGCAAGUCACGGCUAACUACGUGCCUG
This 164-nucleotide ribosomal RNA is filed under the name uncultured bacterium. RNAcentral's name for it is "partial 16S rRNA". It matches the Rfam family "Bacterial small subunit ribosomal RNA", at positions 355 to 511 of the family's 1533-position model. The record is from RNAcentral.